GACGAACGCUGGCGGCGUGCCUAAUACAUGCAAGUUGAGCGCUGAAGGUUGGUACUUGUACCAACUGGAUGAGCAGCGAACGGGUGAGUAACGCGUGGGGAAUCUGCCUUUGAGCGGGGGACAACAUUUGGAAACGAAUGCUAAUACCGCAUAAAAACUUUAAACACAAGUUUUAAGUUUGAAAGAUGCAAUUGCAUCACUCAAAGAUGAUCCCGCGUUGUAUUAGCUAGUUGGUGAGGUAAAGGCUCACCAAGGCGAUGAUACAUAGCCGACCUGAGAGGGUGAUCGGCCACAUUGGGACUGAGACACGGCCCAAACUCCUACGGGAGGCAGCAGUAGGGAAUCUUCGGCAAUGGACGAAGGUCUGACCGAGCAACGCCGCGUGAGUGAAGAAGGUUUUCGGAUCGUAAAACUCUGUUGGUAGAGAAGAACGUUGGUGAGAGUGGAAAGCUCAUCAAGGGACGGUAACUACCCAGAAAGGGACGGCGAACUACGU
This 496-nucleotide ribosomal RNA is filed under the name uncultured bacterium. Its description in RNAcentral is "partial 16S ribosomal RNA". It matches the Rfam family "Bacterial small subunit ribosomal RNA", at positions 28 to 506 of the family's 1533-position model. The record is from RNAcentral.